ACAUGGACAGUCAACACAAGCCACAGCUGCCCCUGAAUAUUACUGGAGGGAAAGACAUCAGUCAUUCAGGCUUCGGGAAAACCAAGUAAGGGCAGACAGUUGAAAAAGUUGUUGUUAUAAAGUAUCUUUGGUAAGGAUUAUCCAGAAGGCCUCCGACCUCUGGGGGGGCUACAAACCCCAACCAAUCGCGGCCUCAUCCUGCCAUUUUUUUUUUCCUUUUGAUCAAAUCAAAUACAUUUCUCUAGCAUGCAUGUGUUGAAGUACGAGCCAAUGAAUGUAGUUACUUUAAAGGUAUUUCAAAAUACUAUGAUCGGUUUGCUAGCUGUGUAUGAUGACGAGUCAGGUCAGAGGUCAGGUGGUGACCGUGGGAAUUUAGCAGCAAAGCUAGUUGGUCCUGAAAGAGCUUCUUAAAACCUAAUGGGAAACAAAGGUUGGAGCGCUGGAACAGCAAGGGGAAAGGCGAAAAUAAUAAAAGGAUACCAGAGAAACUGAUAUUCGGACAAACACAACAUCUAUAUUGACUUCUUUUUAAAGUUGGCUACUCGGCUUGCUAGCAUUAGCAAAGAUCCUGGAGAGGACGAUGCUAACGUCGCAGAGGAGGAGGACUAACGCGGCAGCUGACACCAGAGGCGGUCGUGAUGUCAGUUAUCCUGGGUGGAAGAAGUGACGAGUUGCCACGGUGUCCAUCCACUCUGAUGCCGUUCAGAAACAAAGUGCAUGUGACCUUCAAACUUCCUGAUAACACCCCACAUCACUGAGCAGUUUCCCCGGUCUAUCACCUGCAAGGUGAUGCCAAUCUGAGUGACACGGGAGCAACAUUUUCACAGCAUCCUCUGAUAACAGCAACUCUUGUUUGUGAAGUUGGCAGACAGAGGGGGUUGGUGAGGCCAUCAUGUAUCCUUGCUGAGAGUCACAGGCUACAGAUUUCUCAGGGUGGAUGAAUGACAUGAAAGUAUAUCCAUCCUGUUCACUGGCAUCAUGUGUCUCUUUUACUUCACAAUGGUGUGUUUCUUUAUCAAAUUAUACGACAGUGUAAUGCUGCUUGACAGGAUUCAGUUUAAUAAACUUAGAUUUUUAAUAUGAUUUUAAUAUUCGUUUAUUUAAACGUCUUUUCUUUACACGGAUUUUAUGUUUUUAAUGCACUAUGUCUUGAAAAUCUAUAACAUAAGCACAAACCCAAGCAAUAACUUAUCAAUAAAAUAUAAAAAAUGCCCAAAAAAUCUAUGUAAUACUGAACAACAAAUGUGAGAUCUGAGAUCAACAGGAAGUGCAGCCUGUGUCUUCGCAUCCAUUUGCCACACCUAAUUGAUCUUGGUUGCAUUAGUGUCUGUUGAGGUGGCUCACAGUCACUUUGGCUUUACCUGCGUCAUCUUCCAGCUAAAAGCAGGGGCUUUCCUUCACUGUCUGUCUCUGGAGCUGGAAAAAUAAUUAGCUGAUGAUAAAGAGUACCUCUGACCUCAUUUGACGAAACUCAAUGGUGUGUGUUGGUUUUGUGCGCUGAUGUGUGCGUGUGUUCUCUCAGUGGAGUAAGGAAGGACCGGAUGAGUGAUCUCAGGCCACUAUAGUGAAAUACACACCCACACAGCACAGAGAUGAGGACAAAGGAUGUUGAGAAUCAAUGAAAACAAAGUCAAGGAUUCAGUGCUCUGUAAUGAAACUAUGAUAUCCUGAAUCGAACUGUCCAUGUUGCUGAUAUUUCUGUGGCUCUUCAGCUGUGUGUCUCCGUGCUGCUGAGCUUUGGUCAGAGCAAACAGCUGUUGCUAGGUAAAGAUGGAUUAUACGGCAGAUCAGUUGCAGACCUGUUUGCACAUGGCCAGAUGAACAAAGGUAUCAGCCAUCAUCAGUUCUGACAAGUUUAACUCGCUGUGAUUAACAAGCCCACUCUAUUUUGAGACAAACAUUGUACAUCUGAAUAAAUGCGUAUUGUAUAAUAGUGCUCUUCUUGUCACGUUUGUUUGCUCUUAAUUCAUACAGUUUGUCCUACAUGAACUGCCCCCACACAACCUCCAUUGUGCCCAGGAGGAAAAAAUAACACCCUCACUUACAACAUCUUUAUCUCUGGAUCAUUAUCAUU
This is a long non-coding RNA of Seriola aureovittata, 2074 nucleotides long. RefSeq lists it as uncharacterized. Lineage: Eukaryota; Metazoa; Chordata; Actinopteri; Carangiformes; Carangidae. The record is from RefSeq and is a predicted model, not a curated record. The transcript has 3 exons.